RNAcentral lists this ribosomal RNA (836 nucleotides) under uncultured archaeon. RNAcentral describes it as "bacterial SSU rRNA". It matches the Rfam family "Archaeal small subunit ribosomal RNA", at positions 53 to 894 of the family's 1478-position model. The record is from RNAcentral.
GCGAGUCGAAUGUAGCAAUACAUGGCGAACUGCUCAGUAACACGUGGACAACCUGCCCUUAGGACGGGGAUAAACCCGGGAAACUGGGUAUAAUACCCGAUAGGUCUCGAUUGCUGGAAUGCAUCGAGAUUUAAAGCUCCGGCGCCUAAGGAUGGGUCUGCGGCCUAUCAGGUAGUAGUGGGUGUAGCGUACCUACUAGCCUACGACGGGUACGGGUUGUGAGAGCAAGAGCCCGGAGAUGGAUUCUGAGACACGAAUCCAGGCCCUACGGGGUGCAGCAGGCGCGAAAACUUUACAAUGCUGGCAACAGCGAUAAGGGAACCUCGAGUGCCAGGUUACAAAUCUGGCUGUCGAGAUGCCUAAAAAGCAUUUCAUAGCAAGGGCCGGGCAAGACCGGUGCCAGCCGCCGCGGUGACACCGGCGGCUCGAGUGGUAACCGUUAUUAUUGGGUCUAAAGGGUCUGUAGCCGGCCGGAUAAGUCUCUUGAGAAAUCUGGCAGCUUAACUGUCAGGCUUUCAGGAGAUACUGUCUGGCUCGAGGCCGGGAGAGGUGAGAGGUACUUCAGGGGUAGGGGUGAAAUCUUGUAAUCCUUGAAGGACCACCAGUGGCGAAGGCGUCUCACCAGAACGGACCUGACGGCAAGGGACGAAAGCUAGGGGCACGAACCGGAUUAGAUACCCGGGUAGUCCUAGCCGUAAACGAUACUCGCUAGGUGUCGGCCACGGUGCGACCGUUGUCGGUGCCGUAGGGAAGCCGUGAAGCGAGCCACCUGGGAAGUACGGCCGCAAGGCUGAAACUUAAAGGAAUUGGCGGGGGAGCACCACAACGGGUGGAGC